Molecule: transfer RNA, 74 nt
Filed under: Marmota monax (woodchuck)
Lineage: Eukaryota; Metazoa; Chordata; Mammalia; Rodentia; Sciuridae
Description: tRNA.Met
Rfam family: tRNA
About the family: Transfer RNA (tRNA) molecules are approximately 80 nucleotides in length.
Source: RNAcentral
GUGGAGUUGUAGCUCAGUGGUAGAGUGCUUGCCUCAUAUGUGUGAGGCUCUGGGGUUCGGUCCCCAGCACCACA